CGGGAAUAGGAGUUUAGAAAGACUACAGACAACAUCAUCAAAAAGCUUUUCAAAACACCAUUCUAUAAUCAAAUGCGUUAAAGAUGGCAGCUUAGAAUACAGGCAGAAUUGGUGAAGGUAUCUUGUAAUGUAAAUCUCCUGUAUUUAAUUUUCUACUGCUCGUAAAAUAGGCUCCUGUGUGUUUGGACCAUGUGACAGUCAUGUGUAGUACAUCACAUCAUAGUGUAGCUGUCGCAGAAGUGCUCGUUACGUGUUGAUCACAGGUGCCCAAAUCCAGCAGUUUUAAUUGGAGAUCUUUAUUGGAUAAGAAUUAUCCUCCUGCAU
This is a non-coding RNA of Pelobates cultripes (western spadefoot toad), 324 nucleotides long. Lineage: Eukaryota; Metazoa; Chordata; Amphibia; Anura; Pelobatidae. The record is from the annotation of a GenBank genome assembly.